This 346-nucleotide ribosomal RNA is filed under the name uncultured bacterium. Its description in RNAcentral is "partial 16S ribosomal RNA". It matches the Rfam family "Bacterial small subunit ribosomal RNA", at positions 338 to 699 of the family's 1533-position model. The record is from RNAcentral.
CCUACGGGAGGCAGCAGUAGGGAAUCUUUCACAAUGGGCGAAAGCCUGGAGGAGCAACGCCGCGUGCAGGAUGAAGGCCCUCGGGUUGUAAACUGCUUUUAUAAGCGAGAAAUAUGAAGGCAACUUAUGAAUAAGGAUCGGCUAACUACGAGACAGCAGCAGCGGUGAUACGCAGGAACCGAGGAUUAUCCGGAGUGUCUGGGGGUAAAGAGUUGCGUAGGUGGUGUAAUAAGUAGCAGGUGAAAUCUGGUGGCGCAACCAUUCGGACUGUUAGCUAAACUGUUAAGCUCGAGACCGUGAGGGGUAAGUGGAAUUUGUGGUGUAGGAGUGAAAUCCGUAGAUAUUA